This 232-nucleotide long non-coding RNA is filed under the name Phasianus colchicus (ring-necked pheasant). RNAcentral's name for it is "lncRNA (ENSPCLG00000000191.1)". Lineage: Eukaryota; Metazoa; Chordata; Aves; Galliformes; Phasianidae. The record is from RNAcentral.
UUUUACAAGAUCAUCAGUCACACAAUCUCACCACUCCAGCAAGACAUGACCCCUCAGCCAGCUGGCAGUACUGCCUCAAAAAGUGACAGCUGCCACCAGGAGACUGCUAUCAUGGGAAGAUUUUGAAAACAGAAACCAAAGUAUAAAACGAAAGAGAGCAACCAAGUCCCAGGAGAAGAUAGCAGUGAGUGAAAAUAUUUUAUCAGAUUAAAAUUUUAGUUGGUGAUUAUAU